Dreissena polymorpha is the source of this 2335-nucleotide long non-coding RNA. RefSeq lists it as uncharacterized. The transcript has 5 exons. Lineage: Eukaryota; Metazoa; Mollusca; Bivalvia; Myida; Dreissenidae. The record is from RefSeq and is a predicted model, not a curated record.
CAUGAACAGUUUUCUACGGUUACAAAGUUAGAAUGUGUUUAAACUAUGCAUUGAACUAUGGAGAUAACUCAAUAGUGUGCUUAAUGUACAUGAGGUCAUACAUAUGUAUUUCAAAAUAAUAUAGAAUGGAUUUAACAACGAGUUCUGUUUGUUCGAGUAAAUGAGGUAAUACUAUUAAGCUAAGAACAAUAUCUGAAAUAGACUUAACAUGUCGGACAGACUGGAUGACAACUAUCACACACCGGAAGAGACUCUGUUGGAGGCGGCGUCAGGUAGAGACAUUCCCAUUAUAGUCCGCUUCAAAGAGACGUAUCAAAACAAGGAUUAUGACGACUCCGGUUGGUUUGAGGAUGGCUUAGAGAUAAUGGUCGAAGGGGUUCGCACGAUCGCGUACGCCCGAAUUCGGGUUUUAGCCGUACAUAACGAGAAAGAGGCGCAGAAUGCACACUAUGACGAUUUCGUGGCAGAGAGGCAAAUGUUAUUGGGCCAGGUGUACCUUAUGCCUAUGAACGUCCCUGUGAAAUUGAAACUUGUCACCAGACCAGGAAAACCAAUAACGUAUACUUCAAUCGCCCAGGUGAUACAAGAUAUGCCGACGAAGCUUCUGGUCCACCAAGAUGUGAUUUCGAUCCCGCUCAGCGGCGGUCAUAACACUUUGUUUCCGACCAACACGGUACUCACAGUUAAGCGCGUGUUUACGUGCUCUAUCGACAAGGUGCAAUAGCUCCUGUGCUCGUUCUAAUUGCAGCACGUGUCAUUCAAGGACACCUUACGCGGCCAGUUCAGCGCCAUCGGCGACGACUCUCUUUACACAAUGCGCUACUUGCAGAUGACCAACGUGUUUCACGCUGUAUUCGAGUUUCAGCAUCCCAAACCGGACGACGUUGUGCACUACGUCAACUACGAUGCCAAUGCUGCGCUCACAAUUGCGGAAGGUCCGCUGGAGCUGCUGGGUACAGAACACCUAAACGUUGUCAUCGCCUGAAAACGCCAACACGAAGCAAAAUCUUACAGUACGUUGGUCAUACCGGAGACUCGCGCAAAGACGCCGAUGGUUCAGGAACGUCAUUUUGAUGAAAAAUUUACUAAGAACAACUAUAUUCAAAGAAAGUUUACGGCUUGUAAACAUCUGGAUUUUGUCUCCGACAAGUUGUAUAUAAUACCACAGGAUCCACCGAACGCUGUGUGUCUGAAAAGUCCAAAUCUUUUCUUCUACGACCCAAAAGCAUGUCGACUCCGCGUGGCAAAAGACGGCAUUACAUUCAAUCCCUCAACAGAUGAAGAAUCAUACGACAGCGACUACACGGAAAUAGCGCCCCCCUAUCCCAGAACAGAUUCCAUCGAGUAAAUCCAACUCAAAGUCUCCGACUGAGGCAUACUCCACAUUAACAUUAGCGCUCCAUCUACAAUUGGCAUAAAGACAUCUGACUCCAGCUCUUUGGCUGAGCCGCGCAGAGAAAUGCGCCCCCUGCCGGAAAUAGUUUCCACCCACAGCGACGAGGAUUAAGAUGAGUAUAUAAUUCCUUGUCACUCGGUACCUCCGCGACAUUGCCUAUCAGAUCCAAGUUGCCCUGCGCCACAUAGUCCGUCGCCGCCGAUUCCAAGCGACAUUAGCCAUGGCGACAAUUUGAUUGUUUCGAGCGCCCAUAUAAGCAACAACCCACUUUCGGCCUUCUGUCAAUCCCAACACGCCAAUGAAAAACAAGGGUAUGCGGCGAUAUCGCAGAUAGACAUGCAAAGUAUUCUGGGCCACGGAAGAACGUGUAAAGACUUUAACAACUUGUUCGUUAUUGAACUUUACCACCUGUUAAUGCACUGCAAUCUUCAGGACAUCGCUAACAUUUGCUACGAGGACCGUAUUGAUGGGAAGUUCUUCGCAAACGUAGAUGUUCAGGAUCUCCUUCAUGAUCAACCGUUCAGUGUCUCAAACAUUCAGAUACUGAAGUUUAAAAGGCUCCAGGAUGGAUGGCGUCCUUACGUUUCAUCAUAGAGCGUGUAUCAAUGUUACAUUAUGAGUCAAACUUACCGAGAUUAUAAUUACAAUAUUUGAUUGUUGCAGCAAGUGUAAUUAUCUUAAUAGUUAUAUAAUAAACGUCUUAAAAUCAUUUUUAUUAAUAAAUUGAUAAUGCAUCAAAUAGGGUUUUUUUAAAUGACAAAAUGGUAGUCCACACGUAUAUUUUUAUACGUAUAUCCUUUUCUGCCUCUAUACCAAUACAAUUAGGUAUGUUCUGUGCAAGUAGUCUUAAACAGUUAUACAAAUCAUGACUGUUGGAGAAUAUACGAUAAUAAACAAAAUUAAUUGAAUAAAUGUGUAUCGUUACGAUUAUUAUCGACA